UGUCGUCAGCUCGUGUUGUGAAAUGUUGGGUUAAGUCCCGCAACGAGCGCAACCCUUAUCCUUUGUUGCCAGCGGUCCGGCCGGGAACUCAAAGGAGACUGCCAGUGAUAAACUGGAGGAAGGUGGGGAUGACGUCAAGUCAUCAUGGCCCUUACGACCAGGGCUACACACGUGCUACAAUGGCGCAUACAAAGAGAAGCGACCUCGCGAGAGCAAGCGGACCUCAUAAAGUGCGUCGUAGUCCGGAUUGGAGUCUGCAACUCGACUCCAUGAAGUCGGAAUCGCUAGUAAUCGUGGAUCAGAAUGCCACGGUGAAUACGUUCCCGGGCCUUGUACACACCGCCCGUCACACCAUGGGAGUGGGUUGCAAAAGAAGUAGGUAGC
RNAcentral lists this ribosomal RNA (384 nucleotides) under Escherichia coli. RNAcentral's name for it is "bacterial SSU rRNA". It matches the Rfam family "Bacterial small subunit ribosomal RNA", at positions 1050 to 1434 of the family's 1533-position model. Lineage: Bacteria; Pseudomonadati; Pseudomonadota; Gammaproteobacteria; Enterobacterales; Enterobacteriaceae. The record is from RNAcentral. RNAcentral also lists the same sequence under 2 other names.